This 27-nucleotide small RNA is filed under the name Bombyx mori (domestic silkworm). RNAcentral describes it as "ovarian small RNA-13879". The record is from RNAcentral. Lineage: Eukaryota; Metazoa; Arthropoda; Insecta; Lepidoptera; Bombycidae.
CCGCUAAAUAUAAUUGCUGUGUCAUCC